Molecule: long non-coding RNA, 4009 nt
Filed under: Homo sapiens (human)
Lineage: Eukaryota; Metazoa; Chordata; Mammalia; Primates; Hominidae
Description: HSALNT0317026
Source: RNAcentral
CAUUGGACUUGGACAGCUUUGUUCCUUCUCUGGGACCAAGUCAACAAGCUGGGACCAGAGGAGCUGCGGCUGUAGCACGCAGGGACCGAACAAAAGAGCAAAUAUACAGAUAUCCCUGGAAGCCAGAGUUCUUGGAAGGAAGAAAUACACAUACAGAAUGGGAGAAGGCAAGGAAAAACCCUGUAAGGUUGGGAUGCAUUCAGAGAAAUAGAAACUUCUGAUUCCAUAUAGGUAUCUAUUUCCUAGGUCUGUCUAUGAAAGCUCUUAAAACAGUGCACUCACAUAGAAAUGAACACAUCUAGUACCCAGAUCUCAGUUUCUAAAUGCUAUUCCCACUAAACAAACCAGUACUCAUUGUGGAAAUAGCUACUAAUUCAAUUCAAUAACUGGGGCAGGGAAAGCACAAGAUAAGAUCAUCAUCUUGUUGUGCCAAAGAGUAAGAAAGUGUCUUAAAAACUUGGGAAGCAUAUAACAAUACACAGAAGCAUGCUUGAAGGGGCUCCCACUUUGAUAUCUGGGACGAUGUGAGUAAGGAAAUUAAUGAGAACUGUUGUAGAUUAUAAACAAUUAAACAUAAUAAAUUCCAUGAGUCCCUACUAAUAAAAAUUACAUAGACAGAUAAAUGAUGGAUGGAUGGAUGGAUGGACGAAUUGAUUGAUAGAGAGAUAUAAAGAGAACGAUAGGCAAGAAACAACCAAUGGAUCUUGGGUAGAGGAAGGUAGUUUUAUAAAAAAUACUUGCAAAAUCUAAAAGCAUAUCACUACAAAUUACUUAUAAAGAAAAAAGAAAAAAGUGGAGAAACUGAACACUUGCAACCAAGUGAUCUAAAUUAACAUUACCAAUGAAGGGCACACAGACAUAUUGUGCCUCUGGAUGUAUGCCCCAUGAAAAAUAAAAUAUCACCUGUGGAGUACACUAGCCAUAAAGGGAUAAUUUCCAUUUUAUCAUAAAAAAUAUAAAAAAUAUCCACAUUGAGAAACAAUAGUCAAAAUAUCUGAGCUUUGUUUUUCAAAAUUAUCAAUAAUAUAAAAAACAAAGAACAGCUGAAUAUGGUUCCUAAUUAAAGGAAAGUAAAGAAACAUGACACCUAAAUGCAAUUCAUGACUCUAGAUUGGAUUCUUAAACUGGGGCAGGAGAUAAUAGUCAUAAAGCAUACUAUGGGAAAACUGACAGUUCUGGAAUAUGAUCUGUAGGUCAAAUGUUAUAUGAAUGUUAAAUUGCUUCAAGACAUUGAUGAAAGAAGGGAAAUCCUUAAAUGAUGGGCCCAUUUAUUAUGCCUGCUCCUCCAUAUGUUUUAGAAUCAAGUUCAGUGAGAACAUAAAAUGUUCCUUUUUUUCUCCAUCAUCACUAUCAAGUCAGCCUGACAAAGGCCCAGUAUGGCCAACAUUUCACAUUCCCUGAUUACUACUUCUCAACUAAAUGAGGCUUAGCUUUACUGUCCAUGCAUAUACCAAGAAGGACAGAGAUGAUACCAUGCUGUAAGUCUACAGUUUUCCCGAACCCAGCUCUGCAGAGACUACUUUAAAGAGAUCUAGGUGCUGAUUUUAUUUGUGGGAACCAAAGCUCCAUUGAAGUGAACACACAAGCUAAUUAGCAGAUUUCGAACCUUAGAAACCUUCAUUAUAUUAUAAUCCUACAUCAUCUUUUGAAGCUCAAACAAAAUGUAACUCUGCUCAUUAAUCGUUGGCAGUAAGUGCAUCAUCUCUGCCUUUGAAUACCCUCAGGCUAAUGAUAUGCUGAAAGGUGUCAGGCAGAGGAUGACUCAUAAUGGUAGUUUUUGCUGGAGCUAUUACUCUGUAUGCACACACAUAUACCACUGUAAAUGACUUUUUCUGUACCUGUGUGCUUGCCUCUUUCAAUUGCAUGUGUGUGUGUCUGUGUGUGUACAGAUGCAUACUGAUGCUUAUAGGUGUAAGUUCAUGCCUCUGUGCAAGUGUGUGGACACCUCUGUGUCUGUGUGGAUAAAUACCUCUGCAUUGCUGUGCUACUUUGUGUGUGUGUGUGUGUGUAAAACUCAUACACUACUAAGUAUAAAAUGGAUGAACAAUGUAUUUAUAAGGAUCUCUUUAAUGGUAAGUGACAUUAAACUAAACUAAAAGUUGUUUAAGGAAAAAGGAAAUUUAUUGGCUUAUUUAACAGAAAUAUUUAGGGUUAGCUUUAAGUUCCCACAUGGAAAAGGAAAAAUUGGAACCACCCACACAUAGUGAUGGCUGGUCCCCUGCAUAUAUCAAUUCUGCUGAGCAGGAAUAACAGGAUUCUCUGCCCUGGUGACCAGAGUCUGCUUUGGGCACCUGGUCUGGGGACCUUCACUGAGCUGUUUCUAAGGCAUUCCUUUUUUUUUUUUUUUUUUCUUUUUCUUUGGCUUUUAGUUUCUUUGCUUCCAGGCAAUUCCUGGGGUAAGUAACAAAGCCAGAAGUUUCAUCAAGUCACCAUAUUUAAACCCAGAAACAAAUCUGAGAAUUUCUAUUUUCAAUCAACAGGCCUUCCUUCAUCCCCUCAACCCUCAGCUUUGUGGCCUCUAUCUUGGACUGUCAAAGGCCAGUUUAAACAAUGGUCACACAGAGAUUCACACUUCUCGCAAGCCCCAACUCAAUCUCCUGCCAUGUUUUUCAGGAAAGCGUUAACCCAGUUGUCCUGAGUUGCUCCAACUUUGCAGUUCUCAAGAAAGCCCUAUUCUGUGGUGAGGCCUUAAACAGUUCUUGGGAAUUGAGAUCUUGGAAUGUUCUAACUUCUAGGAAUGCUUUAAACACUUGGGACCUUGAGCCAUAUUAUGCCAGGCUUUCUAAAUAGUUUGUAUGAGGAAUGUGAUUUAUGAACAAACUCAUUUCCUUUGGGGACCUGGAUCUUCAGCAACUGUAGUCAGUCCUACGGAUACUAUAUCCCUAUGUAACCAACCCACAAUGAAAAUUGUGAACUUAUAGGCUUAGACAAGUCUCUGUAAUAGACAAAACUUUACAUGCACCUUCACAAUUUAUUCUUGGAAGAAUUAAGUGCAUCUUAUGUGUAUUAAGUGUAUUUUCUAGUGACUCCACUAGAAGAAUAUUCUUAGAAGCUUGUGCCUGAUUUUCUCCAAACGUUACCCAUACACCUUUUCUCUUCACUGAUUUUUCUUGGGACCCUUUACUAUAAUAAACCACAAUCAUGAGUAUAAUGACUUCUAAGUCCUAAAAGCUCUUCUAAUAAAAUCACCAAAACAGGAGUGGUCUUGGGGACCUCCAAAACACUUUGCUUCUAGAGUAAGUUUUUACUGCUAUAAAUUUCCCUCUCAGGACUGCUUUAGAUGCAUCCCAUAUGUUUUGACACAUUAUUGUUUCAAUUUAAUUUGGUUUUGUAUAUGUAUUAAAUGUCCUUUGAGAUUUCCUUUUUGACCAAUAAAGUAUUUAGAAGUAUGUUGCUUAAUUCCCACAUAUUUUGAGAAUUUCCUGUAGACUUUAUUUAUUUCUAGUUUGAUUCCAUUGUAGUCAGAGAAAACACACUGUAUGAUUUCAGUUCUUAUAAAUUUGUUGAGGUAUAUUUUAUGGCUCAGAAUAUGGAAUAUAUAACUGAAUGUUAAAUGGGCACUUGAAAAAAAGUUUAUUCUGCUAUUGUGUGGAGUUUUUACAUAUGUCGUUUAGAUACUAUUGGUGAAUAAUUGUGUGGUUCAUAUCUUUUAAGUAUUUUCUGAUUUACUGUCUAGGAGUUCUAGGAGUUCUAUCAGUUGCUGAAAGGUAAUGCUGAAGUACUGAAUUAUAACUGUAGAUUUACCUAUUUCUCCUUGCAAAUCUAUCAGUUUUUGCUUUAUGCAUUUUGAAGCUCUGUUUUUUGGUGUGUACAUUUAGAAUUACUACCUCUUCCUAGUAAGUUGAUCCUUUUAUUAUUAUGUAAUGUGACUUUUUCUCUAGUAAUUUUCUUUGCUCUGAAGUCCACUUUAUUAGAUAUUAAUACACCACACCUGCAUUUUUGCUUAAAGUUUGCAUGGUAAAUUUUUUCUAUUCCUUUAUUUUCAAUCCACCCAUAUCAUUGAAUUUAA